RNAcentral lists this RNase P RNA (346 nucleotides) under Lachnospiraceae bacterium. Its description in RNAcentral is "RNase P RNA component class A". It matches the Rfam family "Bacterial RNase P class A". From Rfam's summary of the family: Ribonuclease P (RNase P) is a ubiquitous endoribonuclease, found in archaea, bacteria and eukarya as well as chloroplasts and mitochondria. Its best characterised activity is the generation of mature 5'-ends of tRNAs by cleaving the 5'-leader elements of precursor-tRNAs. Lineage: Bacteria; Bacillati; Bacillota; Clostridia; Lachnospirales; Lachnospiraceae. The record is from RNAcentral.
UGAGCAAAAUGGAUGGUCGCGGCUGCAAGUGCCGAAAGGCAGCAGGUGAGGAAAGUCCGGGCUUCACAGGGCAGGAUGCCGGAUAACGUCCGGUGGAGGCGACUCCCAGGAAAGUGCAACAGAAAUAAACCGCCAGUUUAACUGGUAAGGGUGGAAAGGCAGUGUAAGAGACUACCGCCUGUCUGGUAACAGUCAGGGCUCUGUAAACCCCAUCCGAAGCAAGACCGAAUAAGAAAGCGGGCGGCCCGUCCAUGCUUUCGGGUAGGUCGCUUGAGCCUGAUGGCGACGUCAGGUCUAGAUAGAUGACCAUCGAACACAUAACCCGGCUUAUAGUUUUACUCACUUA